UACGUAGGGUGCAAGCGUUGUCCGGAAUUAUUGGGCGUAAAGAGCUCGUAGGCGGUUUGUUGCGUCGGCUGUGAAAUCCCGAGGCUCAACCUCGGGUCUGCAGUCGAUACGAGCAAACUAGAGUGUUGCAGGGGAGACUGGAAUUCCUGGUGUAGCGGUGAAAUGCGCAGAUAUCAGGAGGAACACCGGUGGCGAAGGCGGAUCUCUGGGCCUGUCCUGACGCUCAGGCGCGAAAGCUAGGGGAGCAAACAGG
RNAcentral lists this ribosomal RNA (253 nucleotides) under uncultured bacterium. RNAcentral's name for it is "partial 16S ribosomal RNA". It matches the Rfam family "Bacterial small subunit ribosomal RNA", at positions 524 to 776 of the family's 1533-position model. The record is from RNAcentral.